RNAcentral lists this unclassified non-coding RNA (494 nucleotides) under Hevea brasiliensis (rubber tree). Lineage: Eukaryota; Viridiplantae; Streptophyta; Magnoliopsida; Malpighiales; Euphorbiaceae. The record is from RNAcentral.
UUUACAGGAGCUGCAACAUUUAAUUGCCAAUUUCUUUGUUUAGACCAACUUGAGACCUUGAAAGAAGAACCAAGAUUGUGACUUUUUGAGACUGAUAGUGAUCUAAGCUUGAAAAGCUUAGUUCUUUGUGAUGCAAAGCCAGUUCUGGGUUGAGGGUAGAUUCUAGGGAGGGGUCUUAGGCCACAUUCUGAUAAGACCCAAGAAGCAGCCAUUAACGACCCAGAAGCUGAAAAUGCAAGAUUCCACCCACAGCCAGUCUAUGGACUACAAAAAGAAGAAAAUGAAAGAACCUAGAAAUUGGAAAGGAGAGGAAGAGAUAACACAAGUAUUUCUCUCCCCCACUUCCAGCUACUGAAUUCUCAACCUGUGCUUUUUGUUGCUUGUCCUCUCUAUCUUUCUACAUCUCUUUAAGCAUAUUAUAUACCCGUGGUCCUCUCUGUCCCAUGCUUUUCUGAGGUUUCAUUUCAUAUGCGUGUGCCUAACUUUCGGCUUGG